This 433-nucleotide ribosomal RNA is filed under the name uncultured Mesorhizobium sp. RNAcentral's name for it is "bacterial SSU rRNA". It matches the Rfam family "Bacterial small subunit ribosomal RNA", at positions 952 to 1382 of the family's 1533-position model. Lineage: Bacteria; Pseudomonadati; Pseudomonadota; Alphaproteobacteria; Hyphomicrobiales; Phyllobacteriaceae. The record is from RNAcentral.
CGAAGCAACGCGCAGAACCUUACCAGCCCUUGACAUCCCGGUCGCGGUUUCCAGAGAUGGAUUCCUUCAGUUCGGCUGGACCGGUGACAGGUGCUGCAUGGCUGUCGUCAGCUCGUAUCGUGAGAUGUUGGGUUAAGUCCCGCAACGAGCGCAACCCUCGCCCUUAGUUGCCAUCAUUCAGUUGGGCACUCUAAGGGGACUGCCGGUGAUAAGCCGAGAGGAAGGUGGGGAUGACGUCAAGUCCUCAUGGCCCUUACGGGCUGGGCUACACACGUGCUACAAUGGUGGUGACAGUGGGCAGCGAGACCGCGAGGUCGAGCUAAUCUCCAAAAGCCAUCUCAGUUCGGAUUGCACUCUGCAACUCGAGUGCAUGAAGUUGGAAUCGCUAGUAAUCGCGGAUCAGCAUGCCGCGGUGAAUACGUUCCCGGGCCUU